This 701-nucleotide non-coding RNA is filed under the name Dictyocaulus eckerti (red deer lungworm). The record is from RNAcentral. Lineage: Eukaryota; Metazoa; Nematoda; Chromadorea; Rhabditida; Metastrongylidae.
CGCAAUAAAGGUGUCAAAAAUCUUUUUAGGUUUAAUUAUGGUCUAGGAAAGUUUAAGAUUGUAUUAUCUAAUGUUGAUUUAUUAUAUAGGCAAUAAAUUUUUACCUUGUUUUCUAUUAUUUGUAUAAAUUUUGUUCCAGAAUAAUCGGCUAUUCAAAAAAAGUUUAUUCUUUAAUUGUGGGUUUUGUAUUUCUUUAUGAAAAUUAUUAAAAAAUAAUUGGUAAAAUAUUUAUUGAAUUGAAAAAAUUUAUUUGCAAAAAAAAGUUUAAUAAAAAAAUUAGAUUAGUACCUAAGUAUUUAAAUUAAAAAAGUUCAGGAGUAAAGUAAUAUUUAAACUGAAUUAAUUUUGGCAGAUUAGAUAAUUUUUCUUUGGAGGUUGAAACGUAAUCGAGAACCCUCGUUAUUUACUUAUUCUAUAGGUGUUUGUAUGAUCGUUUAUAUUAAUUUUAAGAGUUAAUAUUGGUUUUUAGCGAAUAAAAAAUAGAUAUAUAUGUAAUUUAUGAAUAAGAUUGUAUUUUGACCUACAAUUAUUUGUUUAUUGGAAAAAAAUGAGUGAUUGUUUUUGGAAAGUGUAAAAGAAAGUAAAAUAAUUUUUAUGUUUGUUUGAAUAUUUUUUUUCUAUGGUACAAAUCAUCCAUCAAUUGCCUAAAUGGGAGUAAGUUGUAGUAAAGUGGAUUUAUGGGAACUUGAAUCUAAGAAUAA